Molecule: non-coding RNA, 851 nt
Organism: Cinara cedri
Lineage: Eukaryota; Metazoa; Arthropoda; Insecta; Hemiptera; Aphididae
Source: the annotation of a GenBank genome assembly
UAAAGAUCCUCUUUAGUCCUCUUGUUGUGCCACUGAGCUGCACAGAGUUCAGUCCAUCAUCGCUUCUAGGAGGUUCGGAUUUGAUGGCGGAGGGACUUAAUUUCGACCAUGUUGCUGGUAUGUUCGCGUUUCUUUACCGUCUUUAAAAAGAUAAGUAGAGCUCUGAUGCAGUUAGCCCUGAGGUCAGCGAUCUCUUGGCUUCAUCAAUGUGUCGGUCUUAGCUUGGUAUCGCGAACCUACCUUCUGGGCAUGCAGGCAUCACAUAUGUUGGCUAGGUUAGCGUUUAGGGCAUCAGAUGCCUUCUUGCGGAAGUGGAGUCGGUGAGAGUGAGUGGCUUACCUGCCACUUUGUGGACGGAGAUUCGUGGUCUAGCUUCAGGAAAGAUCAGCCGAUUUGCUAAACCAGUUCAGCCGCAGCAUCGCCGAUUGAGACUGUAAACGAAAUGUACUUGUGAUCACUGCUGGAGUAAGCAUCAAGUAUCUUCUAGUCGAGGAACCCAGUCUGAAAAAUAUUACAUCCAGUAUUAACGCGAACGCCCCGUACUCGAAGGUAAGACAGCUGGACAUUGUUAAUACAGAAACCCAGACUGGCUACGAAGGCCUUGAGUGCCUCACCCCAGCAGUUAUCGAUGCUGGAGUUCCAGUGUGUCGAUUUGGCGUUUAAGUCUUCAACUACAAGAAGUGUUUCGCCCGUUUUUCACCUUGAUAGAUGGCGUGGUCUAGAUCAUCGAGGAAUUCGAGGCGAGAGGCCACCGUGUCGCUGUUAGGUCCUAUAGCAACUGAAGACACAGACACUCCUGAAACGGAGCUUGGGAAUGCUAUAUCUAUCUAUCAACUGAUAGUAUGAUAAAC